CUUGGUCAUUUAGAGGAAGUAAAAGUCGUAACAAGGUUUCCGUAGGUGAACCUGCGGAAGGAUCAUUACAGUAGUCGCCCGGGUUGCCGCAAGGCCUCCCGGGUAACCUACCACCCUUUGUUUAUUACACUUUGUUGCUUUGGCAAGCCUGCCCUCGGGCUGCUGGCUCCGGCCGGCGAGCGCUUGCCAGAGGACCUAAACUCUGUUUGUUUAUACUGUCUGAGUACUAUAUAAUAGUUAAAACUUUCAACAACGGAUCUCUUGGUUCUGGCAUCGAUGAAGAACGCAGCGAAAUGCGAUAAGUAAUGUGAAUUGCAGAAUUCAGUGAAUCAUCGAAUCUUUGAACGCACAUUGCGCCCCCUGGUAUUCCGGGGGGCAUGCCUGUCCGAGCGUCAUUACAACCCUCAAGCUCAGCUUGGUGUUGGGCCCCGCCGCCCCGGCGGGCCCUAAAGUCAGUGGCGGUGCCGUCCGGCUCCGAGCGUAGUAAUUCUUCUCGCUCUGGAGGUCCGGUCGUGUGCUCGCCAGCAACCCCCAAUUUUUUUCAGGUUGACCUCGGAUCAGGUAGGGAUACCCGCUGAACUUAAGCAUAUCAAUAAGCGGAGGA
RNAcentral lists this ribosomal RNA (604 nucleotides) under Geomyces sp. F29. Its description in RNAcentral is "eukaryotic LSU rRNA". The stretch from base 242 to 395 matches the Rfam family "5.8S ribosomal RNA". Lineage: Eukaryota; Fungi; Ascomycota; Leotiomycetes; Thelebolales; Pseudeurotiaceae. The record is from RNAcentral. RNAcentral also lists the same sequence under 3 other names.